AUGCAGGUCCUCUGGCUUGAAAUCUACCAGCCCGUUUCUUCUCCCCUCAGUCCGGCCCUCCCUGAGUCCACUGGGCUGGCCUGGUUUUCCUGGUCCCACACAUGCAUGCAAACCCUAGAUAAGAAUUUCCAGAGAACCCAACCAGCAAGAGCGAACAGACUGCUCACUCGGCUGACUCAUGCCACGUGGGAGAAGAAAGAAGAAGUGACACGUUGGCUGUUAUCUCAGAAACUACGGCGGAGACUCCCCCGUGGGAAGGCACAUGCGUCAUCGCCAAGAGCCUGUUUGAGCACCAGAGAAAGUUGGCCUAAUUCUGGUUAGCUCGGUGACAUCAAGACCUGCAUGUUCCCUAGGAAGCACGACGGGAGAAAGUAAAAGAAAGGAACUUCUUACAGAAUGGCCUUCCUCUCUGUAAAGAGGACUCAUUCUUCCACUCGAUACUCUGGGGGCGAAGAUUCCUGUGAUUAAAAACUCUGAGGUCAGAGCCACAGAAGCCAGGACACCCGGCUUGUGUGGCUCUGCUUCCCUGCCUUCCUCAGGAGCCCACUGAUGCACAGGGUGCCUGGCUGCCGCUCGGUCCUGGGCCACCGUCCUUGGAGGGCACAGAACAGUGGGGUGAAGGGGAACCUCUCUGUCAAAGCCCUGGGCAACUGCCAGGCUGAAGGAAGGGCAGCGGCUGGCCCGUCCCUGUCCCCAGGGUCACAGUGUCGUGACGCUCUCCUUCACAGCUGUCCUCCUCCUCCACCAUCCCUGGGGGCAGAAGGAAGCCCUGGAUGCCAUGGAGCAGAAGGGGAGGUGGCACAGCAGGGCCAGUCUCAGGAAGGGGAAGGGUGGCUCUUGGACGACAAGUCUGGAGACCAGAGCAGGACGCCCCCAGGACAGAAAGGACGGGCACACUGCCUGGAUCCCUGCCCCCUAGGAGAGUGGACACAAACCCGAGUGUGGGCACCUAGAGUGACUGCCCUAAAUAAGGAAUUGCUGUGACCCUCCCAUAUUUUACCUUAAAAAGCCAGCGCCCAGCACGAGACAGAUGCUCCGUACAUGUUUACUGAAGUCAUCCGAAUUCUGCAUGCGACUUGCAUCUUUUGUACAAUCCCCCAUUUGGGAGCCAAACUUCUGCUCUCCGGCGAUCCAGGACCUCUGGCAGCCCUGCUCUCAGCUCGUGCCUGGGCAGGAACUCGGCCCGGCUGAAAGCCUCUGGGCAAACUAUCAGUGUAAGCUAUCGCCUUGGCUUGUUGACCAGGUUCCAAAGGGCCUGCAGCAAGUCCCUUCUCCGUCCCUGGCUUCAGUUCCCAGUUCCCUGUGUGAGACGGUGCAGAGGUGGGGGGUGGGGGACGUGAGGUCCCAGCCAGCUCUGGGAGCUCAGCUGCCUGACUCAAUUAUACCUGGUGCGCCUGGAGGGACGUGGUGAAGUGAGCCCUGGGGAAAUGCUUGGGGAACAUGCAAAGCUCAUUAGGGGCAGAGCUCCGUGUGCCAAAGGAGCAGGAAUGAAAGAAGGUUCAGUACUUUGGGCCACUUCUGACCAUCUUUGGGUGUCUGGCUAUGACCAGAGGCUUGGAAAAUGGGAUCUUUGCAUUGCAAUUCACGUGUUAUCUGUAUUUUAUAAAACGAAAGCCAAAGUCGGCAUCGUGCUAUUUGGAGGCAUCCUUUCAUUUGUUUGCUCCUUCGUUAGAAAAACACUCAUGGAGAACUGACUACAGUGGCCAGGUCGGGGAGCUGAUCAGGAGACAGUGAAGGAAGCGGGAAAUUAUUACAAAUGAAAGGGGCGCAAUGACGGCAUGAGGAAAGGGUCUGGCCAGUUGCCACGGGACGCACUACCUGUCCCUCUGAUACACACGCUGUCAUAAGCGCGUCACCACCUCUCCCUGGAGACUGUGCAGGACUGCACAGGAGGAUACAGGCUCAGCCAGGGGAAGUGACCUGCGCAAGAUCACGCAACCCCUAUCUUCUGACCCCAAAUGCAGGACUGCCUCCGUUACCCCACAGCCAUAGAUAGAACAUCAUGAGUCAAAGCCAUAUAGGCUUCCUUCAAUGAAUCACUUUUGCUUUGCUAAGCCGCUUGUGUUCCCACUUAAAAUAAUAAUCAUAAAACCCUGGCUUGCCUACUUUUGGUAUAAAGCUGAGUGGUCUAAGGGGCUUUAAAAAAUGAAAAUGUUUAUGGAUAAACUGCAAGGUCCUACCGUAUAAUAUUGUAUUCUUGCAAUAGCUGAUAAUGGAAACGAACCUGAAAAAGAACAGAUCUAUGUCUGCAGAACUGAAUCAUUUUGCUGUAUACCUGAAACACUGUAAAUAAACUGCAUGUCAAUAGAACAUUUUUAAAAAA
This 2323-nucleotide long non-coding RNA is filed under the name Sus scrofa (pig). RNAcentral describes it as "lncRNA (ENSSSCG00015028670.1)". The record is from RNAcentral. Lineage: Eukaryota; Metazoa; Chordata; Mammalia; Artiodactyla; Suidae.